GUCUACGGCCAUGCCACCCUGAACGUGCCCGAUCUCGUCUGAUCUCGGAAGCUAAACAGGGUCGGGCCUUCUUAGUACUUGUAUGGGAGACCACGUAGGAAUACCAGGUGCUCUAGGCA
Molecule: ribosomal RNA, 119 nt
Organism: Pteropus vampyrus (large flying fox)
Lineage: Eukaryota; Metazoa; Chordata; Mammalia; Chiroptera; Pteropodidae
Source: Ensembl